RNAcentral lists this ribosomal RNA (253 nucleotides) under uncultured prokaryote. RNAcentral's name for it is "partial 16S ribosomal RNA". It matches the Rfam family "Bacterial small subunit ribosomal RNA", at positions 524 to 776 of the family's 1533-position model. The record is from RNAcentral.
UACGGAGGGUGCAAACGUUGCUCGGAAUUAUUGGGCGUAAAGCGCACGUGGGCGGUUCGUUAAGUCGGGUGUGAAAGCCCUGGGCUCAACCCAGGAAGGGCAUUCGAAACUGGCGAGCUUGAGUACGGAAGAGGGUCUCGGAAUUCCCGGUGUAGAGGUGAAAUUCGUAGAUAUCGGGAGGAACACCAGUGGCGAAGGCGGAGACCUGGGCCGAUACUGACGCUGAGGUGCGAAAGCGUGGGGAGCAAACAGG